CCUACGGGAGGCAGCAGUGAGGAAUAUUGGUCAAUGGGCGCGAGCCUGAACCAGCCAAGUAGCGUGAAGGAUGACUGCCCUACGGGUUGUAAACUUCUUUUAUAAAGGAAUAAAGUGAGGCACGUGUGCCCUUUUGUAUGUACUUUAUGAAUCAGGACCGGCUAACUCCGUGCCAGCAGCCGCGGUAAUCCGGAGGAUCCGAGCGUUAUCCGGAUUUAUUGGGUUUAAAGGGAGCGUAGAUGGGUGUUUAAGUCAGUUGUGAAAGUUUGCGGCCCAACCGUAAAAUUGCAAUUGAUACUGGCAGCCUUGAGUACAGUUGAGGUAGGCGGAAUUCGUGGUGUAGCGGUGAAAUGCUUAGAUAUCACGAAGAACUCCGAUUGCGAAGGCAGCCUACUAAACUGCCACUGACAUUGAUGCUCGAAAGUGUGGGUAUCAAACAGGAUUAGAUACCCUUGUAGUC
This 460-nucleotide ribosomal RNA is filed under the name uncultured bacterium. Its description in RNAcentral is "partial 16S ribosomal RNA". It matches the Rfam family "Bacterial small subunit ribosomal RNA", at positions 338 to 795 of the family's 1533-position model. The record is from RNAcentral.